RNAcentral lists this ribosomal RNA (396 nucleotides) under Triticum aestivum (bread wheat). RNAcentral describes it as "partial small subunit ribosomal RNA". The record is from RNAcentral. Lineage: Eukaryota; Viridiplantae; Streptophyta; Magnoliopsida; Poales; Poaceae.
UGGAAGGUUGGCAAUGGCAAGAGUAUUAGGUUUUGGGAAGACCAGUGGACAGGCAAUACUACUCUUGCCACCAGCUUUUGGGAGAUGUACAAUAUUGCUAAUUCCACUAACGUUUCUAUCAGUCAGGUCUGGGAUGGUAUGAACCUGAAAAUCAACUUCAGGAGGUGCUUCUCGCCGGAUAUGCUUGCGGCUUGGAAUGAGCUUUUUAGUUUAGUUAAGGAUCUGGUGUUGAAUGAUAGUGACGACACUAUUAUUUGGGACUUGGAGUCCAAAGGGAUUUACAUAGUUAAAUCCUUUUAUAAUUUUGUGAAUUUUAGGGGAUUGCUUCCAGAUAACAUUACUAUGAUUUGGAAAGCCAAUGUCCCUCAAAAGUACAGAUUUUCCUUUGGUUGCUAG